GUCCGCACCGUAAACGAUGAUUACUCGUUGUUGGCGAUAUGACAGUCAGCGACCAAGCGAAAGCGAUAAGUAAUCCACCUGGGGAGUACGCCGGCAACGGUGAAACUCAAAGGAAUUGACGGGGGCCCGCACAAGCGGAGGAGCAUGUGGUUUAAUUCGAUGAUACGCGAGGAACCUUACCUGGGCUUGAAAGUUAGUGACCGAUUCUGAAAGGAGUCUUUCCGCAAGGACACGAAACUAGGUGCUGCAUGGCUGUCGU
This 259-nucleotide ribosomal RNA is filed under the name uncultured bacterium. RNAcentral's name for it is "partial 16S ribosomal RNA". It matches the Rfam family "Bacterial small subunit ribosomal RNA", at positions 793 to 1055 of the family's 1533-position model. The record is from RNAcentral.